GAGACUAUCUGGUCGAUAGGCCGCGGAUGCAAGCGCAGCAAUGCGUUCAGUCCAGCGGUACUAAUCAUCCGAACGGCUUGACCAU
Molecule: ribosomal RNA, 85 nt
Filed under: Spirochaetales bacterium
Lineage: Bacteria; Pseudomonadati; Spirochaetota; Spirochaetia; Spirochaetales
Description: partial 23S ribosomal RNA
Rfam family: Bacterial large subunit ribosomal RNA
Source: RNAcentral